This 376-nucleotide ribosomal RNA is filed under the name uncultured bacterium. Its description in RNAcentral is "bacterial SSU rRNA". It matches the Rfam family "Bacterial small subunit ribosomal RNA", at positions 524 to 898 of the family's 1533-position model. The record is from RNAcentral.
UACAGAGGGUGCAAACGUUGUUCGGAAUCACUGGGCAUAAAGCGUACGUAGGCGGCGUCGUAAGUGUCGGAUGAAAUCCCACGGCUUACCCGUGGAACGGUCCGGCAUACUGCGGUGCUAGAGGAUGGUAGAGGAGAGCGGAACUCUUGGUGGAGCGGUGAAAUGCGUAGAUAUCAAGAGGAACACCGGUGGCGAAGGCGGCUCUCUGGUCCAUGUCUGACGCUGAGGUACGAAAGCCAGGGGAGCAAACGGGAUUAGAUACCCCGGUAGUCCUGGCCGUAAACGAUGGGCACUAACUAGAAGUCUCACCUGUGGGAUUUCUGGUGAAGCAAAUGUGAUAAGUGCCCCGCCUGGGAAGUAUGGUCGCAAGGCUAAA